This is a non-coding RNA of Acidobacteria bacterium 13_2_20CM_57_17, 137 nucleotides long. Lineage: Bacteria; Pseudomonadati; Acidobacteriota. The record is from Rfam.
AACUUCACGGAUUACACUCGUGUUUCAAUUUGCAGGCAAGGGUAGCGGGGAAGGCCGUGUGAAUCGGCCGCGGUCCCGCCACUGUAAUCGGCUCAAAAGCCGUAAGCCAGGCCACCCUCCCGUGCCGCAGAGGGCCG